This 200-nucleotide unclassified non-coding RNA is filed under the name soil metagenome. RNAcentral's name for it is "partial contains internal transcribed spacer 2 and large subunit ribosomal RNA". The record is from RNAcentral.
CUUUGCGCCCAGCUGGACUGAAAUGCAACAAGCUGAAUCGAUAUACGUGCGGCUUGACCUGUUGUUGUAAGCAAUUUACAAUGGGGACGCACGAGAAUUGAACGAGCUUUUCAAAUGCUUUACCGCUUUGUGGACCCCUCUCGAGGGUGACCUUAGUGCAUUCUGACCUCAAAUCAAGUAGGACUACCCGCUGAACUUAA